Molecule: ribosomal RNA, 253 nt
Filed under: uncultured bacterium
Lineage: Bacteria
Description: partial 16S ribosomal RNA
Rfam family: Bacterial small subunit ribosomal RNA
Source: RNAcentral
UACGGAGGGGGCGAGCGUUGUUCGGAAUCCUUGGGCGUAAAGGGCGCGUAGGCGGCCGUCCAAGUCGGGUGUGAAAUCCCUCGGCUCAACCGAGGAACUGCACUCGAUACUGGUCGGCUAGAGUCCGGGAGGGGAUGGUGGAAUUCCCAGUGUAGCGGUGAAAUGCGUAGAUAUUGGGAAGAACACCGGUGGCGAAGGCGGCCAUCUGGACCGGAACUGACGCUGAGGCGCGAAAGCCAGGGGAGCGAAUGGG